AUUUAUGGCCUUUUGUUCUCUGUUUGGAAGAUCCUCUAAUUUCUUUUUCGCCAUAUAAACUCCCGCAGCUAAUGUCAUUCUAAAAACUUCUGCAUGUAAACUAUUGUCUUUGAAGUUUGUAAUUUUCUAAUUCAUCCCACUUCCAUCCUUGAGCUUGUCUUUGAAUUUGCAGUUAUAUUAGCAUGGUAUUCCAGACUUGCACUAAAUAAGGGCACAUAAAAAAGAGAUGUUCAGCAUACUCAUUAUCCUUGAUGUGUAGUCCACACUUCUCAUCCUCCAAGCAUCUUCAUCUGGCUAACCUUCCCUUUGUAAACAGCUUGCUAUAUAGGAUAAGUUGACCAUUUAGGAGGGUAUAUUUUGUUGUAAAUCAGCCUUGUCCAAUUAACCUUCUGGUAAGCUCUUUUUAGCUGAAGAGUUUGCUGAUAGUAAACUUAUCUGAUCUUAGUACAUCCAUUUCUCACCUACCAACUUCCUCAAAGUAUUUGUGAACUUCGAUGAUAACAGAUAAAAAUAUAUGAAAAUGGUCAAUUUGUAGUCCAACGAAAAGAAUCACUCUUUUCGCCUCCAAACAGUUCAUUAAUUUUGGCAAAACUAUGAUACUAUAUUUUGUCCCCAAUCAAAAUUAUGAGUCGGAUGAAUUUCAACAAUUAGCUAGUGAUCCAUCAAGACAUUUGACUAAAAAUUCAACAUGCAGCUCAAAAGACUGAACCAUUCUAAUCUACAUAUUCAUCAGCUAACGAAACAAUCAGGCUCCAAAAGUUAAAGAUAUUUGAAAGUGUUAUCUGAGUUAAAAAUACCAUUUUUUAUAAUCUACAAUAUUUACCACCAAAACAACUUAGGCUCCAAUAAAUUGAAGGAACAACUAACCAGAAAGGCAAAACAACAACCUGAGUAGAACAAUCUGGGAAAGAGAAUAACAAUGUGCAUUCUUUAGGAGCUUAUUUCCGUCCCUGAGUUCUUCUUUGCGGGAGAUUCUAAAAUAGAGCUCAGAUUUUUCAAUCUUUCCUGCUGAAUCUCACUCGGGGACCUGUAAACACUAUCUAUUAUAUUGAAGUUUGGUUCAUUUUUUAAUUUGUGAUGGAUAUGAUCAAGCACAUAAUCCUGCAUCUUCAAAUACACCAUGUCUACAAUACAUUAUGUCACAUAUUUAAAAUUUUACCAACAAAAAUAGAACAAUAUUAACCCUAUCAAUUGAAGGUUUAACGACAUAAUAUGUUCACCAUGAACUUGUGCAGUUAGAAAUAAAAUAUUUAAAUAUUAUUGCUCGUUGUUCUUAUCGAUGAUUCGGUCAUUUACUUCAAAGAAUAUGCAAUUAUUGUCUUGUGCGGGAAAUUAUAUUACUUUUCUUUCCUUUUAAAUUAUCCCAAAAUUAAUCAUAUUAGUCACUAAUAUGUUCUCCUUAAAUAGUUUUGAGAUUUGCAGUAAAAAACAUUCUCGAGUGACUUUUAUGCAUGCCAUAUCAUAAAUUUAUAAAGCUAAGAUUAAAUGGAACAUGUGAAUGAGGGUUAGAACUUAGAAGAUUCACUACCAGCCAAAUGAGAUAUAGUGAAUAAAGUUUUCAAGAAUCAACUUCAAUAUCUUCUGCUUGUCGGUCCUUAUUCACCAAUGAAAAUAUUAAAAUUCCUACAUAAGAGAUCAAUUUAUUUUAAUAAUUUUUAGCGAAUCAAAAUUAAAGACAAUUUAAGCAUAGUAGAUUGCAACUAUCUAAAAAAAACAUACUACACUAAAUGUGUUCCUUGAAACUUAACUUCAUUUACCUCAGCAUGGCUGAUAUCAUAAUAUACUACUUGUAAGGCAUUCUACAAAUGGCUUCCGGACAAUUAGGAUAGAAACCACUCCAUCCAAUAUAAAUUAUAUUCAAAGUUGGGAAAACGAGGUCUGGUUCAAUCAAGGUAUAGCUUAACGGAAUGAAAGAGAAUUAGUGUAUUAAGCAAGUAGGAAAAAGCAGAAAAAGGGACUUCAGACGUUGUUCUCAAGUCUAGUUAACGAAAGCCCCAAGUCACCAAUAACAUUGAGCAAAACUCUUUCCUGAAGCAACUCACUCCAAAUGAACAAAUUGUCAGUCAUAUCAUCAAACAAUUAGGGUGCAUAUUCCACUUCAAUAGAUUUAACUGUUGGAUAGUGAUUUAACUUUCAACAUUCAAUUACUCCAGAUUCAAACUUCAUUAACCCAUGGAACUGAAUCUAAAAUCAAAACUUUACAAAUCUAUUCGAACAAACGUAGAAAUCAAAGAAAAAUUGAAGCUCAAAAGAAAAUCAACGAAAAAUAGAGAGACAACAAGAAUUACCUCAAAAUUGCAGUAAUACUCGGAGACGAUUUGAAUAUGAAAAGCCAAUACUUAUGGGAGAUGAAAAACUUCAUAAAAAUAUAGUUCUUGGAGAAUCGGGAAGUUUUCCAAUUUUUCGUCUGGGAAACUCUGCAAGAUGAAGAACCUAUAGUGGAUGAGAGAAUGUGAUGAAGUAUCGAUGGAUGACAACACAAGAAAAUGGUGG
Molecule: long non-coding RNA, 2493 nt
Filed under: Solanum tuberosum (potato)
Lineage: Eukaryota; Viridiplantae; Streptophyta; Magnoliopsida; Solanales; Solanaceae
Description: long non-coding RNA (STUB_LNC004265)
Source: RNAcentral